RNAcentral lists this ribosomal RNA (551 nucleotides) under uncultured bacterium. RNAcentral's name for it is "bacterial SSU rRNA". It matches the Rfam family "Bacterial small subunit ribosomal RNA", at positions 355 to 896 of the family's 1533-position model. The record is from RNAcentral.
UGAGGAAUAUUGCGCAAUGGGGGAAACCCUGACGCAGCGACGCCGCGUGAGUGACGAAGGUUUUCGGAUCGUAAAGCUCUGUCAGAAGGGAAGAAAUGCUAUAUGGUUAAUACCCCUAUAGUUUGACGGUACCUUCAGAGGAAGCACCGGCUAACUCCGUGCCAGCAGCCGCGGUAAUACGGAGGGUGCAAGCGUUGUUCGGAAUUACUGGGCGUAAAGGGCGCGUAGGCGGCUUGAUAAGUCAGGUGUGAAAGUCCACGGCUCAACCGUGGAAGUGCAUUUGAAACUGUCAGGCUUGAGUAUCGGAGGGGAGUGUGGAAUUCCCGGUGUAGAGGUGAAAUUCGUAGAGAUCGGGAGGAACACCGGUGGCGAAGGCGACACUCUGGACGAAUACUGACGCUGAGGCGCGAAAGCGUGGGGAGCAAACAGGAUUAGAUACCCUGGUAGUCCACGCAGUAAACGGUGAUCACUAGGUGUAGCGGGUAUUGACCCCUGCUGUGCCGCAGCUAACGCAUUAAGUGUUCCGCCUGGGGAGUACGAUCGCAAGAUUA